CUAUAGAACGCGCUAACUUUUUCAGUGGCAGAUGUUGAGUUUGAUGCCAGCAACGACGACCAUCUGGAGUGGGUAGCGAAGGAAGCAGUUUGCAGGGGGAAUUCCUUUAACCUCAAAGUAGAGCUAACGAGGCUCGCCUCUUUUAUAUAUGACGCACAUGUUUUUCAAGGGAAUCGAUCACCGAUUGGCCCAGGUGGUCCUCAGAAACACCAUACCAGCCGUCGCUGCCACCAACGCUGCAAUAUCAGGCAUCUGUGCCCUCGAAGCUUUCAAGCUGGUGACCGGCGCCUACGAGCCGCUGUCUUCCCAGCUUAUGUUCAACGGGACGGACGGCAUCUACAUGCACGUCUACAGGACCAAUCGAAUGCCAGAUUGUGAAGUUUGCGGAAACUUGCCUGUCCUCUUUGAGUGUUCCCCGGACAUGACCCUUCGUGAACUCCGCGAGUUACUGGCAACAGAUCAGAGAACGCAUGUACUUAUUAAUAACCCGAGGGGCUUCGAUUAGCCAUCCAUUGGAUAGGAAAUGGGAGGACCCUCAGCUUACCUACGAAGGAAAGUACCUGUACUACCGGAAAGGGCUCUUAAACUUCACGGAAAAUGCACAGAAAAAGCUAAGCGCGCUGCUGAGGAGCCCUGCAGUCAUUGUGGUCCACACGCGCAGUGAAGAGCACUACGCCAGAAUAGAAUUCGUAUAACGCUGGUCGGAAUUCACAUGGCCAGCAGCCUUUCAUUUAUGUGGGCAACGUACAUAUUAAAGCCGCACUGCUCCUCUUCAGCCGUUCUUAAAAUUUCCUUCAAUAUUAU
Molecule: RNA transcript, 804 nt
Organism: Zophobas morio
Lineage: Eukaryota; Metazoa; Arthropoda; Insecta; Coleoptera; Tenebrionidae
Gene name: NEDD8-activating enzyme E1 catalytic subunit-like
Exons: 5
Source: RefSeq, a predicted model, not a curated record